AUUGAACGCUGGCGGCAUGCCUAACACAUGCAAGUCGAACGGCAGAACGGGUCUUUGCACUUGGUGCCGAGGGGCGCACGGGUGUGUAAUACAUGAGACCGUGUCCUGGUGUGGGGUAUCGCCCGGCAAAAGCCGCAUAUAUAGCGCACGCGCUCUACGGGUGAGAGCGGGGGCCCCUCACCUCUCGCUCUAAGAUGUUGCUCGAUGGCAGAUUAGCUAGUUGGUGGGGUAAAGGCCUACCAAGGCGACGAUCUGUAUCUGGUCUGAGAGGACGAACAGUCACACUGGGACUGAGACACGGCCCAGACUCCUACGGGAGGCAGCAGUGGGGAAUUUUGGACAAUGGGCGAAAGCCUGAUCCAGCCAUGCCGCGUGUGUGAAGAAGGUCUUCGGAUUGUAAAGCACUUUUGGUCGGAAAGAAAGCCUGUGAGCUAAUACGGUCGUGUGAUGACGGUACCGGAAGAAUAGGCACCGGCUAACUACGUG
Molecule: ribosomal RNA, 486 nt
Filed under: uncultured bacterium
Lineage: Bacteria
Description: partial 16S ribosomal RNA
Rfam family: Bacterial small subunit ribosomal RNA
Source: RNAcentral